RNAcentral lists this transfer RNA (72 nucleotides) under Camelus bactrianus (Bactrian camel). It matches the Rfam family "tRNA". Rfam says of the family: Transfer RNA (tRNA) molecules are approximately 80 nucleotides in length. Their secondary structure includes four short double-helical elements and three loops (D, anti-codon, and T loops). RNAcentral also lists the same sequence under 2 other names. The record is from Rfam by way of RNAcentral. Lineage: Eukaryota; Metazoa; Chordata; Mammalia; Artiodactyla; Camelidae.
GAAGGUAUUGCUCAGCGGUAGAGUGUGUGCUUAGCAUACACAAGGUCCUGGGUUCAAUCCCCAGUACCUCUA